AACGCGAAGAACCUUACCAGGUCUUGACAUCCUUUGACCAUUCUGGAGACAGAACUUUCCCUUCGGGGACAAAGUGACAGGUGGUGCAUGGUUGUCGUCAGCUCGUGUCGUGAGAUGUUGGGUUAAGUCCCGCAACGAGCGCAACCCUUGAUUUUAGUUGCCAGCAUUCAGUUGGGCACUCUAAAGUGACUGCCGGUGUAAGCCGGAGGAAGGUGGGGAUGACGUCAAAUCAUCAUGCCCCUUAUGACCUGGGCUACACACGUGCUACAAUGGAUAAUACAAAGGGUCGCGAAGCCGCGAGGUGGAGCCAAUCCCAUAAAAUUAUUCUCAGUUCGGAUUGCAGGCUGCAACUCGCCUGCAUGAAGCCGGAAUCGCUAGUAAUCGUAGAUCAGCAUGCUACGGUGAAUACGUUCCCGGGCCUUGUACACACCGCUACAGU
RNAcentral lists this ribosomal RNA (439 nucleotides) under uncultured bacterium. RNAcentral's name for it is "bacterial SSU rRNA". It matches the Rfam family "Bacterial small subunit ribosomal RNA", at positions 958 to 1401 of the family's 1533-position model. The record is from RNAcentral.